UACGGAAGGCAGCAGUGGGGAAUAUUGCACAAUGGGCGAAAGCCUGAUGCAGCUAUGCCGCGUGUAUGAAGAAGGCCUUAGGGUUGUAAAGUACUUUCAUCGGGGAGGAAAAAACAAAACUAAUAAUUUUAUUUCUUGACGUUACCCGAAAAAGAAGCACCGGCUAACUCCGUGCCAGCAGCCGCGGUAAUACGGAGGGUGCUAGCGUUAAUCAGAAUUACUGGGCGUAAAGAGCACGUAGGUGGUUUUUUUAAGUUCAGAUGUGAAAUCCCUGGGCUUAAACCUAGGAAACUGCAUUUUGAAACUGAAAUACUAGAGUAUCGUAGAGGGAGGUAGAAUUCUAGGUGUAGCGGUGAAAUGCGUAGAUAUCUGGAGGAAUACCUGUGGCGAAAGCGGCCUCCUAAACGAAAUACUGACACUGAGGUGCGAAAGCGUGGGGAGCAAACAGGGAUUAGAUACC
This 460-nucleotide ribosomal RNA is filed under the name uncultured bacterium. RNAcentral's name for it is "bacterial SSU rRNA". It matches the Rfam family "Bacterial small subunit ribosomal RNA", at positions 340 to 786 of the family's 1533-position model. The record is from RNAcentral.